This is a non-coding RNA of Daphnia pulicaria, 82 nucleotides long. The record is from the annotation of a RefSeq genome assembly. NCBI's taxonomy places the organism in Eukaryota, Metazoa, Arthropoda, Branchiopoda, Diplostraca, Daphniidae.
GGUAGCGUGGCCGAGCGGUCCAAGGCGCUGGUUUAAGGCACCAGUCUCUUCCGGGGCAUGGGUUCGAAUCCCAUCGCUGUCC